UACGUAGGGGGCUAGCGUUGUCCGGAAUCAUUGGGCGUAAAGCGCGUGUAGGCGGUUCGGUAAGUCCGCUGUGAAAGUCGGGGGCUCAACCCUCGGAUGCCGGUGGAUACUGUCGGACUAGAGUACGGAAGAGGCGAGCGGAAUUCCUGGUGUAGCGGUGAAAUGCGCAGAUAUCAGGAGGAACACCGAUUGCGAAGGCAGCUCGCUGGGACGUUACUGACGCUGAGACGCGAAAGCGUGGGGAGCAAACAGG
RNAcentral lists this ribosomal RNA (253 nucleotides) under uncultured bacterium. Its description in RNAcentral is "partial 16S ribosomal RNA". It matches the Rfam family "Bacterial small subunit ribosomal RNA", at positions 524 to 776 of the family's 1533-position model. The record is from RNAcentral.